This is a long non-coding RNA of Dendroctonus ponderosae (mountain pine beetle), 2031 nucleotides long. RefSeq lists it as uncharacterized. The transcript has 2 exons. NCBI's taxonomy places the organism in Eukaryota, Metazoa, Arthropoda, Insecta, Coleoptera, Curculionidae. The record is from RefSeq and is a predicted model, not a curated record.
AAAAGGGGACCAAGCCUUUUUUGUAGAUCGGGGCUUAUUUUUUGACAUAAUGGCGUUUGUAGUAUUCUUUUCGGGUGUGAAUACGUGAAUUGAGUAUGAGGUGUCGAUGGGUAUAAAGUGGUGCUUUAAGGAUUACCAACUAACAUAAGAAGCAUGAAGAUGAAGCUCUUCCCACGGGGACUCAGUAUGGAAUGCCUCAAAAAAAUGAUGCGAUUGGACAGAUUACCACAGUCUUAGUACAAUGCAAGACAAAACUGAGCAACUAAAGAAGAAAUACGCAACAAUCGAGGAAGUUAAAUUUAAAGCCAGUGUGAACUAUUACCAAUUUUUAUGUCCUUUAAAUAUAACUUAUUGUUUUGUUAAAUCAAAUCAAACACAACAAAUAUUUGGAUGUCAGCCUAAGAUUGCCUAAGAUUAUGCACCCUGAUGCAUAAAAUUUGAAAUAGAAAAUAAAGUAUUAUGCUGAAUUGAAAUAAACAGUCAAGGUAAAAUCGGACUUUAAGGAUUUUAUUUAAUUUGAGUUAAAGCUACUUACAAGUGGUUUUCUAAUUUAUUUUAUUCUAUAACUGAUGAUUUAUGUACAUUCAGCUCAAUACAAAACUUAAUGACUAUUUUAGGAGAAAGUGCAAAUACGUGACUAUUGUGUGUAUUAAUAAUUGUUUUAGCUUUAACACUGAUCCAAAUGAUUUCACGUUUAUUUGAACGUUUGUAUAUUGUUAUAGAUUAUUGUAGAUUGUAAUGCAGGGUAAUCAAUCUAUAAAAGUGGUUUAAAAUUGGUAAAAUUAAAAACAAUACUGUGAAAUUCUUACUUAGAAUCUUGCGCAGAGAUACUGAUCUUUUGAGAUCUUUAAGAGCCUAUAAAACUUGUAUUGCCCUAAAUCAUCUGGUUCAUUUAUACUACUUGUGUGUAUUUAAUUAUCAAAUGUGUAUUAAACAUAAUUUGUUCAAGUUCUUUUAUAAUCUCCUAUUUCUGUAAUUCCGAUAAAUUAUUUUUUUGAACUUUGAAACUGUCGUUUUUUCUUUGCACAUCCGUUAUUUCUUCACUUUUCUAUUGUUUUUUAAUAUGUUCAUCCAUUAAAGAUAUAGUAGCUGAACUUACUCAUUUGAAUCUUUGGAUAUAUCUUUUCAUGAAGUAAAUAUGGUUUAUUAAAAAGUCAAUUUAUAUUUGUAUUACAUCUGUGCCUAUUCUUGUGGUGACCUGAUUGUUCAAAAGCUCGCAAAGUCAACCCGUCUGGUAACGCUGAAUUUAUGUCGGCUCGCAUUUAACUAAAAGUGACAGUUGGAAUUUCUUAUGAUAUCAAAAAUAGAGUAAAAAGAAGUACCCAACUAAUCGGAGCCCCAGAAAACAAUUCCCUCCGUCACCCUUUGAGCGUCGUACUCUCUUUGUCUGAAAAUUAAAAUAUUGCAAAUUAUAAAACAUUUUCGCUGUUAGAAACGGCGCAGCGCCGCAUUUCUAAUAAAGAAUUAGCGAAAAUGCUUUUAAAAGAUUUCUCCUUUGAUGCCGGAAUAUUUAUAUUUCUCUUUUAGAAAACGAGCUUGAAUGCCUUAAAUUAAUGUCGGAGAAAAGUCUAAAUUGUUUCCAGGGCUCCGUAGCCGUCGUCCUUGGCGAAAGGAACUGAUGGCGUUCAUAAGUUUGUUAAACGUGAAGUGUUUUGAUAAACCGAUUUUCGAUAUGGACUGCUGCAGUAUUAUCAAAUUAUUAAUUAGCUAUUUAGUUGUUUUCGCUCAACUUUUAUCAAAGUUUGUUCAAAAUCUUUUAAUACUUUUAUACAGUGGCUUCCGUACUUUAUGAAUACAUAUCUAAAAAUAACUUUAAUACCCAGGCCUGCAUACUUAUAAUUCGUGUAAGAUCUUUCAACUCUGAAAGAAAUCAGCAAUAUGUGAAUUCCUCCAAAAUUAAAUUUUGUUGUUUACAAUUUAACAAUUAUUUGUCAUUUAAACUGUGUAUUUCUUACAUUCGAACUUUGCACACAUGUGCAAUAUGUUUUAGUUAAUGGAGUAAAAAGUUCAAUAAUAAAGAAGUUUUGUUAA